Molecule: transfer RNA, 71 nt
Filed under: Marmota monax (woodchuck)
Lineage: Eukaryota; Metazoa; Chordata; Mammalia; Rodentia; Sciuridae
Description: tRNA.Undet
Source: RNAcentral
GGGGAGGUAGCUCAGGGGUAGAGUACUUGCUAGCAUGCACAGAAACCUGGGUUCAAUCUCCAGCACCACUU